Long non-coding RNA from Oenanthe melanoleuca, 6722 nucleotides. RefSeq lists it as uncharacterized. The transcript is spliced from 5 exons. The record is from RefSeq and is a predicted model, not a curated record. Lineage: Eukaryota; Metazoa; Chordata; Aves; Passeriformes; Muscicapidae.
AAGGCAUCUGAUCUCUCUGCUGCAAGGCCAGCUUGGCUCCCAGGAGUGCAACGGUGCCUGCCAUAAAAAAAGCCUAAAGGUUAUCUUUUUACAACUCAAAGGACUGCCUGACUUUUUAAAAGAGGUUUUGAAUUGAAGAAGGAGCUACCAGGCACAGCUAUAGUAAUUUUAAAUCAGUGGUUAAAGGGCUGCUUCAUGAAAAAAACCCCAACUUUUUGCAGUUUUGUUGGAAAAUGGAAGAUUUGUAAUAUGGUGCAAGGAAAGUGGGAUGAUAAAGGGGCUGGAAAGGUGCUGGGAACAAAGUUGGGUGCUGGUGAUGGUUUUUCUCAAAUAAGAUAGGAAGAGCUGCAGGAAAACUGGGUUUUUCCUUUGGAUCCCAGGUUAAUGGCAGUCACAUCCCAGCCAGCUCCCUGCGGCAUUGUUCUUCCCACAGAGCAUUCAGACCUAUUUUCUGCACUUUCCUUUGACACAGCCUAAAAAAAAAUUACAUUUCUUAAAUGAAAAGCCGUCUGAUCCGGAUGGUUCUGGGAGAGGCAAAAACCAGCAAGGAUUACACCAGGAACAGCCCAAGCCUGGAUUUCUCCAGCUCAUGCAGCACAGGUGGGAUAAAUAUUAAAAAACCAAAAAACAACCCAACAAAAACAAACAAACAAACAAACAAACAAAAAAGCUGUAUGCUAAUAUUCUCUUUCCCCCCAGCUUUCCUGGCAGAACUGAGACACUCACUGCCACAAUGUAGUUUUAAAACACAUUGAUUUUGAUGGCAUGAGUGGAAAGGGAUGAGGCGAGUGCGCAAGCGCGUUACCAGGCUGUGAGUGCUAUACUGGCUUCUUUAUAAAAUAAAGGAUAAAAAGCCCAUCCCACCCUAUUUCUGAAAACAGAUGCACAGCACAUACCUGCGAGCAGGUUUUGCUAUUUUAUAUCCCAGAUUUCCUUCAUCAUAUCAGUGAUUACAGCAUCCUGCAGCCCUAUUUCCUGAAAAUUACCAAUUUUCACCCAGAUUUGGCUUUGAGUGGUUUAAGUUAUAUCUUUAUUUUGCUGGAAUGUCCAGUAAAGCAGUGUGAGCGAUGUGUUUUAUUGAAAUAAAAGCACGGAUAUUUUUUUAAGACGUUAUCCCCUUCAUCAAGGUGGAUUAUUGUCCUCAAGGAUUUAUCACUGGGGGGAAAAAUGAAGAAGGACGGGGAAAAAAAUACAUAAUAUACUAAUAUAUACCUUAAUUCUCUGUGCGGCUAAACUUUUCCGCACAGCCAAACUAGGAAAUGUGCUUUAAUCUCAUUUAUUGGACUGCUUUGUCUGAGUAUGGGUUUUUUUUUUUUUUUUUUUUUUUUUUUUUGAUGAAACGAUCGGGCUCUAGACGGGGAGAUAAGGACAAAGAGUUUCGCGAGGGAGAAGAUAAAUUCCUGAAGAAAAAAGAGAAAAAGAGGAGGAAAAUGAGGGUUUGGUUGACAAAAGGCGGCGCCGGCCGGGGCUGCCCCCUCAGGGCCCCUGAGGCGCGGCCCCCGCGCCCGCUUCACAAAAUGGCCGCCCGGCGGGGCGCGGGAAAGGCGGAGGCGACAAAAUGGCGGCGGCGGAGAGCGCGGAAGGACGGGCGGCAGCGGCGGCGGGCCGGAGCGGCGUGGGCACGGCCGAGGGGCUCUGAUCCUCUGCGAAUCCCCUCCGGGCGGGCGGAGAAAGCGCUGCGGGUGAAACCUGACCUCCUUCUCCCUCCUACCCUGUUCUCCUCGCCGCCUUUGCGAAAGGAUGCGAAAGUGGCCGGAAAUGCGCAUUUUUAUUCGGCCGUGGGGGAGCUCCCGGUCUUCUCCCCUCACUUCAGCCCCCCUGCUCCCCCAGUGUUAGCCCUAAAAUGUUUUUGAUGUUUUUUUUCCCCUCACAGCUGAGGGGUUUUGGGCAAGAAUGGCGCUUUCCACACGACCCCCACCCUUCCCUUCAUCAUCACCACAGGCACCCCCAUGGUGGGCAGUUUUAUGCCCAAUUCUCUCUUUUUCCAGCGCUUUUCUCCUUCGCAGGGGCUGAAGCCGCCAACUCCCGGUCUCCUCACGGCAUGGAAAAUCCCCAAAAGUGCUUAGGGAAAAAAAAAAACAAAACAAAAACAAACCCACAAAAAACCAGUCCCAAACGCCCGAAGAUUGAUUUAUUAUCGGAGCCGGAGUGCUUUGGGAAGAAGCCAUCACUGCUCGCCCGCCAUUCGCAUAAUUAAAAUCAUAUAUUGCUGUGAUCAGACGCACUAAUACCAUUAAAAAAACCCAAAUCCCGUAACAUCCACACGCUCGUUGUUGGAGGCUGUAGCCAAGAGAUGUAGAUUUUCCUUGGGAGAUUUGGGAUUAUUUUUUAAUGAGAAAGAGGAAAAAAUACACCCAGAAAAAAAAAAAAAAAAAAACAAAACAAAAAACAAAACCAAAACAAACAAUGAAAAAGAAACAAAAAGGAAAAAAACACAACAAACCGCAGUAAGUGAAGCUGCAAAUGCAACCGAAUGGUCCGGAUCAGACAAUUCAUUGCACAAAAAAUGGAUAAAUGGAACUGAAAUGGCCGGCUUUGCUGUAGAUCCAGGAGGAGGGAUCAGCUCCUUUAUCCCACCAUCUCGCGCUACAAACUCCACCAUUUUCUCUCUCUCUCUUUUUUUUUUUUUUUUUUUUUUUUUUUUUUAAUAUGCUUUGUUGGGGCGUUUUGUUUGGAGCCGAGGCGGCGGCACCACCCCCGAGCCGGGGCUGGCAGAGCCGCUCGGGGCUCCACUCACACAGAGAUCUCGCAUUUCUGCCCGGCCUUGUGCAAUCCUCUCCCUUUUAGCACACGCAGUUUUUUUCCUCUCCCCUCUGCGGGUAUCAGGGUUUCUCUGCUCUCUCCAGCUUGGCUGCUUAUUCCAGAAGUUUCCGCGGGGGCGGGGAGCCCCCACUGCGGCGCCUUUGCCGCAGCGCCGGGCAGGGGCAGGAGGAGGAGGAGGAGGAGGAGGAUGCGCCGCCUCUCCCUGGCUGCGAGCCUCAUUCCAAGCAGCUCCCCCUUGCUCCGUUCCCCCAGCCUUGAAAACAGAGCGCUGGGAGGUGUUUGCAGCUUGGAGGGGUUUGGGGUUUGGUUUUUUUUUAUUUUUUAUUUUUUUCCUAAAUCAAUGGAAAGCAGAGCUGUCGCUGAUGGAGAUGGAUGAGACAGGGCUGGAAGCGCCGCAGCCCUGCUCCGGCGUGGCCAUGGCACCGGCGGCAUAAGUGACCUUUCCCAGGCAGUGGGAGGGGGGAUUCCCCCCCGUUCCAGCAUGCUUCUGCUCGGAAUUAAUUUUAAAUAGGAGUAUUAUUUUUUAUUUUUCUUCCCCCCCCCCAUUUCUCCUUCACUGUUUUUGUUUUGUUUUGGUUUUUUUUCCCCGAAGCUUCCUCAUGAUCUUUUAUUUUCUUCCUGUGUGUGUUUUGAAUUGCGUUUUAAAAUUGCCCAGCUGGAGACAAGGCUUGAUUAGAGCUGGAACAAUAGCUCCCUUUUAUUAAUAACGGGAAGGAUUUACAAUCAUACAGCACCUUCCUUGGAAAGCUUUCCAAACCAUUUACAAACACUCACAAAUUUCAGAUUGUGCAGCCCUUGGCUGUGAGGUGGGUAAGUAUUUAAUGGUGCCACCACACAAAAUCACCUCGGUGGCAAACCUCAAUUUCUGAGUGCUUAAAAAGAUGACAGAUUUGGUUUUGCUUUUUUUUUUUUUUCUGGUGGGGGGUGGUGAGUGGGUGGGUGGGGUGGGGUGUGGGGCUGGCUGAAAGCUGUAACCUAAAUCUGUGAAUGCAGUGUUUGCUGCGUCCUGGGAACUGGGCUGUUCUCCCUCCAGCCACGCAGCUCUCCAGAGCCGAGCUGUGGAUUUGCUGCAUGUCAGUAAACAUCUGCUUAUGGAUUUUUUAAAAAUUUUUUUCUUUAAUCCAUUCCCUUUUUGCAGUCCCUAAGUGACCUCCUGCAGUGCUGCCUGCACUGCGGUUCCACCACAGCUUUGCUCUGGAGCCCUGAUGUUUGUCCCUGUGAGCCAGAGUGACCUUGCUGGGGGUACUUGGGCCCACCGAGCGAUUCAGGUGCUGUGCUUUGAUCCCAAAUCCCUGCACCUUGUUUUUUGCCAGCACAUCCCCUCACUCAGGGCGAUGCUGCAGUUAUGGGUUAAAGCUGUUUCAUGCCUUAUUUUUUUUUUCUCAGUUGUUUUGGUUUGGGUUUUUUCUUCUUUUGUUUUUUUUGUUUGUUUCCUUCUAAGGGAAACAAUAUAUUGUUUGUGUAACCCCUCUCCUCAGCAGAUCGCUACAAACCAAGCGGGGAUCCAGGAGUCACCCAGGCAGUGGGAUCUGGCCUUCCCAGAAGCAUGAGGGACAAGGCUCCAGCUGUAUCUGCAUGUGUCACCCACAGGCCACACAAGCCUGCAGUGUUCCUGUGGUUACUUCUGUCUGCAGAGCUGCUGGAAUGUGCAUUGGCAGGUAUGCAAAUGUGGAGACUGUAACAGCAGCGAAUGAGGAUGGAUGAGCUGUUUUCUGGGGUCACAUCCAACUCCAGAGAAGAAACCCUGGUGAUUUACAAUUUUUUUCUUGUCUCUGGUAGAUUUUACUCUGAGCUCCACUGUACCUUGUGAGAAGACUGAGUUUUACCCUUUUGGCUACUAAAAAUGGUUCUGUUUUUAAACCUUGGUGCUUUUUCCCUUCCCUGUGGUCAUGCAGAAGAGCAAGCAGUGCAAUUAAAUAGUACAGCAAAGGGCAGCUCCCUCCCCCUUUCUCUUUCAAAAAAUCCAGAGUUGUGUGUCUUGAACUGCUGCAUAGGCAGAAAACAUACAAAGCCUUUGUCAGCAUUGUGCUGAUGUGUGGCACGUUAAAAAAAAAUACACACAAAAGGGGUGGGGAGAGCGGGUGCCUCCAGGGAGCAAAACUAUGGGGCCCCUUUCCCUCCAAGCCUACAGACCUGUGAGGGAUAGCCUGUUCCUCCUAAUUUUGCUCAGGCAAAGGCAGUGGAGGUCGGAGGGAGCAUUGAACAUCUUAAAUGGCCUUGAUGCUAAUCAGGGUCCCCAUGAAUUACAUUUUUUUUCCGUUGCAGCUGGUUUAUUACUCCAUUCCUCAAAGUCCUGCUCGCUUGCCGGGAAGGGAAACGCUUCCUUACUGGGUGUCAUUUCUUUUGUUGUGUUGCAAAGCCUGGAAGGCCAUAGUCCUGUUUGGUGACGAAAGCCCUGUAUUUGGGGAGAGCCCUUGUGAGGUUUUGGUUGUGUGGCUCAACCAUCACACUGGGUUCUGCUGCUGAAGAAACCUCUGGUUCUUUGUAGAAGGAAUUUUAAAAACAGCAAUGUUUUUUUAUAUAGAGAUAAAAAUGGGUUCAAUGUCAACUGAAGUUCAGAGGCCCCUGCACACUGGGCUGUGGGAUGUGACUGGUGCUAAGCCACUGGCUAAAAUAGUGGCAUUUUGUGGCAGCUCCCAUCCCUGGCUCUGUGCAUAAGAACACAGGGAAGAGCAUCAGAAAAUAGAUUACUGAAUUCUGCAUUUCAGAAACAUGAAGGGAGUUUUCUGCAGAGUCAUCUUAUCAGGAAGAUUUGGAGCACUAACCCUCAGAAAGAACUGGAAUCAAGAGUUUUAUCAAUAUAAAUCCUGUGCUUUGUGUUGGUUAAGGCUCCACAACCUGGCUCUGUGCUCCAAGUGUUUUCAGCCCCUAAGAUGACAGCCUCUGUCUUGGCAACAAAUGGGCCUAAAUAUCAAACAGCACCAAUUCUUUCCUGGAAAAAAUGAGCAUAAAGAAGAAUGGGUAAGCUAUAAAAUUAGGCCAAUAAUUCAGGCUGGCUUAAAAAGGAGAUAAAAGCCUAGCUGGGAAUUUGAUAUUCAUCUGUCAUAGUGUUCUUUUAAUAAAUACAAUCAAUGAGCAAGGAAGGCACGUAAAUACAUUUUACCUUGACAAGAUGGUGGCUGGCUCAAACAAAGGAACACUCUGAGUGUUUCUUGGGGCUCUUUGCUGUGAAACCCUUUUCUUGCUUUUUCACAAAAAGCAUAGAAACUGGCUGUGCACUGGUGGUGGGGAUAAUCCUCGUGUUCCCACUCAGAUCCCCGUGAAUCCCGGCUGAUGUAGCCAGGGAGAGAUGUAAUAUCCCCUUUCACAGAGAUGUUGCUGUGCCAGACCUGAGGGUAGGCAGUCAGAGUCUGAGCAAACAGAACCCUGGUUGCUGUCCUUGCUCAGUAUCUAAUCUUUGCUUUUGAGCAGUCUCAGCAACGUGCAGCAGCUUUGCCACUCGGGAAAGGCAAAAAAAAAGGUGUUCAAAAUGGAUAAACCUGCCUUUUGAAGCAUUGUGUCUGCCCACUUCUAUUUAUUGGUUUUUCCUCCUCAAAGAGAGGCUGCUGUGUGGACCUCAAGGAUGUUUUCUGCUUCUCCUGCCCUUUUUUUUCCCUUCAAACUGGAGAGCUGCUAACUUUAUUAGCUCCUUAUAUGGCAGCUCCAUUUUCUCACGCCUUUAAUGGCUCUCUUUUGAUCUAUCCUGUUCUUGCCUUGCUUUUCCUGAACGUGGUGCUCAAGCUGAGAUGGGUUUAUAACAUACUCCCUCACUAAUAAAUGGCCUGGCCCUUUAAUUCUCUCCAAGCACUGAUAAGAAACAUCCAAAUGUUUUAACUGCGGGGUUGGCUGACAUGUCCGGAGAUAGCUGGGCUCUCAGCUACACCCUCCCAGGAGCAAUUUAAAUUGUUCCUUGCAGCGAGUGUCCCAAAGGCCGAGGGCCAUCGGGUCAUGUAGAACAGCUCAAGCCCCCUGUUUGGGGC